GACAGAAGAUGGCGGAUGAGCAGCAUGCAGGGUUUUCUCCCUAUGGCUCACUCUCUCUUACUGUGCUGGGCGGUUGCUUCCUCUCCUGCUGCCCUUGGGAGUCAGACUCCAGGUUCUUCAGCCUGCGGCCCCUGGGGCUCUCGGGCCUUGGAGGACUGACUAGGAGCACACAAUGUGGGCCUCUCUGGUUUGGGGGCCUGGGACGUGGCGGAGCCCUGCAGCUUCUGUGCGGCCUGUUCUGGGCGUCGCGGUGAAACGCCAGCCAGUUCCUCAAGUAAGCUCCCUGCACACACGCCUGAUAGCCUGUUGCUUCCGUCCUUCUGCGGGAUUUUCACUACCGCUCUCUAACUCACACACAGCAGAAAGAGCAUACGGGAGAGAUGAAGCAGUCCACUCCAAGAACAUUCUCAUCCUGCGGAUUACGAGUCCCCCUGGGAUUACAAGAGUGUUGAAGAAAUGUUGUGACACAUCAGAACACCGCGAAAUACAUGGACACUUUCAAAUCAUGGAAGACUCUCAAGAGGAAACUUUAAUUAGAAGGAAACAGGAAUAUUCAAUGGACUCCCAAGACAAGAAUACAGAUGUAUAUCAGAAGCUGAGCACUGAAGUUGCUACUAGAGUCUCCCCGAGCCCUUAUUGGAUUCUCACUUCAGGAGCUGCUUUCAUUAUUUUGCCUCUCAGUUUCAAAAUAGACAAAGAACUCAACACUCAACAAUAAGAAAAUGAACAACUUGGUUGAAAAAUGGGCCAAAGACCUUAACAGACACCUCACCAAAGAUGAUAGACAGGUAGGAAAUAAACAUAUAAAAAGAUGCUGCACGUCAGAUGUCAUCAGAAAAGUGCAAUUAAAACAACAAUGAGACACCACUAUGCAUCUCCUAGAAUGACCAAAACCCAGAACACUGACACCAAAUACUCUUGAGGAUGUGGAGCAAUUCUCAUUGCUGAUGGGAAUGCAAAAUGGUACAGUCUUUUGGAAGACAGCUUGGAGAUUUCUUAUAAAGCUAAACUUGGAUUUACCAUACCAUCUACCAGCGGUGCUCCUUGGUAUUUACCCAGUGGAGCUGAAAAUGUAUGUCCCCACAGAAAAACAGGCACGUGGACGCUUACGGAAGUUUUACACAUAAUUUCCAAGACUUGGAAGCAACCAAGAUGUCCUUCAGUCAGUGAAUGGAAGAAUAAACUGUGGAACAUCCAGACCAUGGAAUAUUAUUCAGCGCUGAAUAGAAAUGAGCUAAGAAAGCCAUAAAAAGACAUGGAGGAAAAAAUGUUCAACACCAAGACUGAACCCUAAUGUAACCUGUGGACUUUGGAUGAUAAUGAUGCAUCAAUACAAGUCAUAAAUUUGGAAAAAUGUACCUCUCCUGGGAAGGAGUUGAUAAUGAAGUCAGGAGGGCAUCUUUCUCGGCUCUUCACUGUGAGAACCUUGUGGGAUUCCUGAAGAUGAAACCAUGAACGCGUGGGAGUCUUGCUAAAACUGCAGCAUUCGAGAGGUUUUCACUCAUGCUGGCUCACACUUAUCCUCUAGCAAUUCAUCAAAAUUACCAUGACAAAGAAGAGACAUGCAAGUACGACAGAAAAUACUACACACUACCCAGAGAUUGAAACUGAAGGUGUGAACAACAGAGAAAAGAGAGGGUAAAGAAAAGGAAAACAAAGAAGACGUGGGAUAUGAAAGGUGUAUGCCAUGUGUGGACAUCAAGAAAUGUUUCAGCUCCCACUUCUGCCACCAAUUGAGCCUGGAACCUCACUACUUGGAGUUGGGGGGAGGGCAGUGCUCAUUCAUCAUCUGUGAAAAUAGGGAUUGAGAGUUCCCUAACUUUGCCAUUUUUCCUCAAGCACUGACAUUGGUUUUCUGAAUGUCAGGCUCUGUAUAAGUGAGUCCUCAGCUGAGCCACAGGCUCUGCAUUCCUGGCAGUCCACACACUUCAUAUCCUUUGUUUAUGCUGCUCAUUUUGGAAUUCAAACAGGUUGGUGGGGCACAUUUCAACAGAUAAUAACACACACUGACUGCUCAUGAGCUAUUUUAUGGUGUGAGAAUGUUGUGAUGUUAUGAAAUACGGAGGCAUUAAAACAUGCGGACAUUUUCUAGAAGAUCCUUAGCAGAGAGUACAGAAGACUAAGGUCCAAAUCUCUGAAAUGAUGUUUUCCAAAUUAUUGCACAGCUAUGUCAAACAAAGUACUUGAUCCAGUUAAUGUUAACAAAUAAAACAUUAACAAGUUAAUUAACAUUAACUUGAUCCACUUAAUGUUAACAAAUAAAAAACUAUGAAAUGUUAUUUUCUAGGUAUGGGUAGUAGUGGAUAGUAGUAGAUCUGUUGUGUAGUGGAGAUUGCUUAGGAAGAAUAAAUUUCAACUUUACCAAGAAAGUACUAGAUUAAUUGCAUUAGGAAAUUGUGAAUUGCAUUAGGAAAUGCUCAUUCUUCUUUCAAUAGCCAAUAUCUGGAUACUAUACUCUCUUGAAUUUCUAAGAUUUGCAUCCGUUAUUCUAUAAUUAGCUUUCCAGUUUAUUGAAUGAUUUAAUUUACAUACAAAUAUUUUCUAAUAUAUUCCCUGUAAAAUAAUUUUAAAAAUUAAACAUUUCUCUAAUUACACAUUCCUCCCUAGCUGAUACAAUUUCAUGUAUUUGCUUACUUUCCCAGCCGGACAUUCAGAAAUUUUUUACUCAUAUUGUCUUCAAUUGCAUAUUUGCCGUUUUCUAGCUUUUAUUUUAUUUUUAUAUCCAUUUUGUUCUAGGUGUGGAAAUUGCUAAGUGUAGAGCUUAAUAAUAUUUCACCAAAAAGAUAUGUGUCUAACUCCCUCAUGAAGAAGUAGUAUGUUACCAACACUCCCAAAUUUCCUUUGAUGUCAAAAAGCAUCAUUUUUCUCGAGAGUCUUUUUUUGUAUUGGUAUGAUAUAUAAACGAAAUCAUAUACACAUUUAUUUUUUCAUUUAGAUACUUUCCUUCAGUAUUAUGAUUGAGACAUUAACCUCAGUUUAAGUAUUUAUGUCAUUUUCAUUGCUAGUUCAUUGUAAGAAGCACACCUUUUAUUUAUCUAUUCCCUUAAUACAUAUUCCUGUUUCCAGUGUUAGAUUAAUGCAAAUAAGGCUGUAGUGAGCAUUCUUUUACAUGUUUUUCAGUGUACAAAUAUAUGCUGAGAGAGGAAUUACUGAAUCACAGAAAGUAGUAUAUGCAGCUAUAAUAGAUAUUACCAUAUCCACCAAACGUUUAGUAUUUCCUGUUUCAUUUUAUUCACUCUGGGGGAUGUAUAGAGAUUUCACAUUACAUUAUAAUUUAAUUUCUCUAAUGUCUAAUGAUGGGGAGCACCUUUUUCAUGUUUUUAUUGUCAGUUUGGCUAUCUUCUUUUUCUAAAUGCAUGUUCAAGUAUUUCAUCCAUUUUUAUUGGUCUUUUUUUACUGGUUUAAUUGAAUUCUUUAUAUAUUAUGGAUAUGAGCUCUUUGUCAAUUUUAUAUGUAUGCUUAUAUUCACUCCUACUUCACUCUGCAGCUUGCUUUUUAUUUUUAUGCUUUUAAUAAUGAACAUAAUUUCUUGAUUUUAAUAAAUAUCAUUAUUUUU
Molecule: long non-coding RNA, 3556 nt
Filed under: Pan troglodytes (chimpanzee)
Lineage: Eukaryota; Metazoa; Chordata; Mammalia; Primates; Hominidae
Description: lincRNA
Source: RNAcentral